RNAcentral lists this ribosomal RNA (442 nucleotides) under uncultured bacterium. RNAcentral's name for it is "bacterial SSU rRNA". It matches the Rfam family "Bacterial small subunit ribosomal RNA", at positions 339 to 796 of the family's 1533-position model. The record is from RNAcentral.
CUACGGGAGGCAGCAGUAGGGAAUCUUGCGCAAUGGGCGAAAGCCUGACGCAGCGACGCCGCGUGCGGGAUGACGGCCCUAGUGGUUGUAAACCGCUUUCAGCAGGGACGAAAAUGACGGUACCUGCAGAAGAAGUCCCGGCUAACUACGUGCCAGCAGCCGCGGUAAUACGUAGGGGACAAGCGUUGUCCGGAUUCAUUGGGCGUAAAGAGCUCGUAGGCGGUUCAGUAAGUUGGGUGUGAAAGCUCCGGGCUCAACCCGGAGAGGCCACUCAAUACUGCUGUGACUAGAGUCCAGUAGAGGAGCGUGGAACUCCUGGUGUAGCGGUGAAAUGCGCAGAUAUCAGGAAGAACACCGGCAGCGAAGGCGGCGCUCUGGGCUGGUACUGACGCUGAGGAGCGAAAGCAUGGGUAGCAAACAGGAUUAGAAACCCCUGUAGUCC